CACGUAGGCACCAAGCGUUAUCCGGAUUUAUUGGGCGUAAAGAGCUCGUAGGCGGUUCGGUAAGUCGGGUGUGAAAACUCUGGGCUCAACCCAGAGAGGCCACCCGAUACUGCUGUGACUAGAGUGCGGUAGGGGAGCGGGGAAUUCCUGGUGUAGGGUGAAAUGCGCAGAUAUCAGGAGGAACACCAGCGGCGAAGGCGCCGCUCUGGGCCGUAACUGACGCUGAGGAGCGAAAGCAUGGGUAGCAAACAGG
This 253-nucleotide ribosomal RNA is filed under the name uncultured bacterium. RNAcentral describes it as "partial 16S ribosomal RNA". It matches the Rfam family "Bacterial small subunit ribosomal RNA", at positions 524 to 776 of the family's 1533-position model. The record is from RNAcentral.